RNAcentral lists this unclassified non-coding RNA (296 nucleotides) under uncultured fungus. Its description in RNAcentral is "partial contains 5.8S ribosomal RNA, internal transcribed spacer 2, and large subunit ribosomal RNA". The stretch from base 1 to 52 matches the Rfam family "5.8S ribosomal RNA", at positions 103 to 154 of the family's 154-position model. Lineage: Eukaryota; Fungi. The record is from RNAcentral.
AACGCAUCUUGCGCCCUUUGGUAUUCCGAAGGGCAUGCCUGUUUGAGUGUCAUUAAAUUCUCAACUACAAAAGUUUUUUUUGUAGCUUGGAUAUUGGAGGUCUUUGCAGGCUCGAAAGGGUCAGCUCCUCUUAAAUGCAUUAGCAGAACUUUAAAAAGGAUCGGCUUUGGUUUGAUAAUAUCUAUGCCAUCGCUGGAACAAUUAUUAGUUCAGCUUAUAAUCGUCUUAGGACUGUCUUUUCAAAGGCAUUAUUUAAACUUGACCUCAAAUCAGGUAGGACUACCCGCUGAACUUAA